UGCAAGUCGAGCGGACAGAUGGGAGCUUGCUCCCGUGAUGUUAGCGGCGGACGGGUGAGUAACACGUGGGUAACCUGCCUGUAAGACUGGGAUAACUCCGGGAAACCGGGGCUAAUACCGGAUGGUUGUUUGAACCGCAUGGUUCAAACAUAAAAGGUGGCUUCGGCUACCACUUACAGAUGGACCCGCGGCGCAUUAGCUAGUUGGUGAGGUAACGGCUCACCAAGGCAACGAUGCGUAGCCGACCUGAGAGGGUGAUCGGCCACACUGGGACUGAGACACGGCCCAGACUCCUACGGGAGGCAGCAGUAGGGAAUCUUCCGCAAUGGACGAAAGUCUGACGGAGCAACGCCGCGUGAGUGAUGAAGGUUUUCGGAUCGUAAAGCUCUGUUGUUAGGGAAGAACAAGUACCGUUCGAAUAGGGCGGUACCUUGACGGUACCUAACCAGAAAGCCACGGCUAACUACGUGCCAGCAGCCGCGGUAAUACGUAGGUGGCAAGCGUUGUCCGGAAUUAUUGGGCGUAAAGGGCUCGCAGGCGGUUUCUUAAGUCUGAUGUGAAAGCCCCCGGCUCAACCGGGGAGGGUCAUUGGAAACUGGGGAACUUGAGUGCAGAAGAGGAGAGUGGAAUUCCACGUGUAGCGGUGAAAUGCGUAGAGAUGUGGAGGAACACCAGUGGCGAAGGCGACUCUCUGGUCUGUAAUCUGACGCUGAGGAGCGAAAGCG
This 725-nucleotide ribosomal RNA is filed under the name Bacillus subtilis. RNAcentral describes it as "bacterial SSU rRNA". It matches the Rfam family "Bacterial small subunit ribosomal RNA", at positions 56 to 761 of the family's 1533-position model. The record is from RNAcentral. Lineage: Bacteria; Bacillati; Bacillota; Bacilli; Caryophanales; Bacillaceae.